RNAcentral lists this ribosomal RNA (253 nucleotides) under uncultured bacterium. RNAcentral's name for it is "partial 16S ribosomal RNA". It matches the Rfam family "Bacterial small subunit ribosomal RNA", at positions 524 to 776 of the family's 1533-position model. The record is from RNAcentral.
GACGGAGGUGGCAAACGUUGCUCGGAAUUACUGGGCUUAAAGGGCGUGUAGGCGGUCGACUAAGUCGGGUGUGAAAUACUCCGGCCCAACCGGGGAAUUGCAUUCGAUACUGGUCGGCUAGAGUGCGAGAGGGGCAAGUGGAACUCCAGGUGUAGCGGUGAAAUGCGUAGAUAUCUGGAGGAACGCCGGUGGCGAAAGCGACUUGCUGGCUCGUAACUGACGCUGAGGCGCGAAAGCCAGGGGAGCAAACGGG